This 417-nucleotide ribosomal RNA is filed under the name uncultured Singulisphaera sp. RNAcentral describes it as "bacterial SSU rRNA". It matches the Rfam family "Bacterial small subunit ribosomal RNA", at positions 354 to 776 of the family's 1533-position model. The record is from RNAcentral. Lineage: Bacteria; Pseudomonadati; Planctomycetota; Planctomycetia; Isosphaerales; Isosphaeraceae.
GUCGAGAAUCUUCGGCAAUGGGCUCACGCCUGACCGAGCGACGCCGCGUGGAGGAUGAAGGCCUUCGGGUUGUAAACUCCUGUCGAGGGGGAGGAAGCGUGGCAACACGUUGACCGAUCCCUGGAGGAAGGACGGGCUAAGUUCGUGCCAGCAGCCGCGGUAAGACGAACCGUCCGAACGUUAUUCGGAAUUACUGGGCUUAAAGCGCGUGUAGGCGGCCCGGUGCGUCGGCUGCUGAAAUCCCCCGGCUUAACCGGGGAAGUGGCACCGAUACGACCGGGCUGGAGGGAGGUAGGGGGGUCUGGAACUUCCGGUGGAGCGGUGAAAUGCGUUGAGAUCGGAAGGAACGCCCGUGGCGAAAGCGAGGCCCUGGACCUUUUCUGACGCUGAGACGCGAAAGCCAGGGGAGCGAACGGG